This 8033-nucleotide long non-coding RNA is filed under the name Lactuca sativa (garden lettuce). Its description in RNAcentral is "long non-coding RNA (LSAT_LNC007959)". Lineage: Eukaryota; Viridiplantae; Streptophyta; Magnoliopsida; Asterales; Asteraceae. The record is from RNAcentral.
AUUCAUUGUUUAUCAUAGUUCGAUGGAGCGUGUGUGGUUUACCGGCACAUCGAAUAGGUGAUCGUUACAAUGAAGGCACCAUGUGAAUUUGCAUGGUAAUUCACACCCGCUUUGUGAUCCUCGGCAUCCCAGUCACAAACAAGAGGGGCAUAUCGAGAUUUAAACAUGCCAUUGAAUAGUUUCAAUGAAUCUCAUCCGAACCUAGGAAUUCUCAAAAACACUUAGGACUAAUAGUUUAAGUUUUGUGAUGGAGAAUUAGUGAAUCGUCAUUCACUUACCUUCAAUUUAUUUGCAUGUUAGAUUACGGCAUCCCUUUUCUAGUAUGUAAAUGUUAUUGUUGGAUCCUAGCCCUAAUUUUCUUAUUGGGUGAUAAUUAGGGAUUCUUAUUCUAAUCUAUCUUUGUCCUUUUCUAAUUGUAGAUGUCGAACGCAAACAACGCUGCUGCUAGUUCUUUCACGUUGAUGAGCCUUUGCCAAAAGGUCACCUUCGAUGGAACGAACUUUAGCGAAUGGAUAAGAUACAUUCGCACCAUUGCUCGCUAUGAGGAUAAGGAGUAUGUCCUCGAUGAGAAGCUCGAGAAAAUCAACCCCGAAAUUGCUACUCCCGCCGAAAUCACCGCCUUUGAAACUCAUGAGCGAGAUGCAACGAAGGUACAUUGCAUCAUGAUCGCCACCAUGAACUCCGAAUUCCAAAAGUCCUACGAGGACAUGUACCCGUACGAGAUGCAUCAAGACUUAUUGGAGAGGUACCACCAAAACGCGAGACAAGAGAGGUACGAGAUUUUCACUAACAUGAUUUCCGCGAAGAUGGGUCAUGGAGAAUCUCUUACCGUGCACUUGCAAAAGAUGCAAAGGUAUGUUGACCGCCUUCGCAAGUUAAAUGUUGACUUCGGUGAAGACUUGGCGAUCGACAUGGUGCUUCACUCUUUGCCUCCGAUGUACAACCAAUUUAGGAUGACCUACCACAUGAACAAAGAAGAGGUCACCCUAAGCAAGCUCCAAGGUCUCUUGAGGGUUGCUGAGAGCAACUUCAAAGACAAGUCUGUUGCACCUACUCCCAAUCCGCCCGCUGCUCCUGUCUUGGCUAUUGGACAAGGGAAGGGAAAGAAGAGGAAAGCUUCAUCGAAGAACUAUCGCAAGGUGAAAGCCCGAGAUGGUGCCUCUUCUAGUGGGACCAAAGUUGAUCCCGCCAAGCCCUGCUCUAACCCGAAGGAGGCAGAGUGCCACCACUGCCACAAGAUAGGACAUUGGAAGAGAAGCUGCCCGGAUUACCUGCAAGCAAUCAAAGAAGGAAAGAUCAAGCCAUCUUUCGCAGGUAUAUAUACAAUCAAAUCUAACGAUUCUAAUCAUGCUAUUUCUUGGGUUCUUGAUACCGGUUGUGGUUAUCACAUUUGUUCUAAUGUGCAGGGACUAAGAAGAAGUAGGGAUGUGGAGCAAGGAAGGAUCAAUCUAAUCAUGGGGAACAGAAGAUCGUCGCCUGUGACCAAGAUUGGAGUGUAUUCCUUAGUGCUUAGGAAUAGUUUAGUUUUAGAUUUGAACAAUUGUUGCUAUUCGCCAGAAAUGGCAAGAAACAUCAUUUCAUUUCAUGGUUUAUAUAGACAAGGAUUUAGAUUUUCUUUUAAUAAUGAGAAUGGUUCUAUUUUGGCUUAUCUAAAUGGUGUCUUUUACUUUGAAGCUAUACCAUGUAAUGGAAUAUAUGAAACCGUUAUGAUUGUUGAUAACUUAGGAAAUGAUGUUUUGAAUAUUGAUUCUUCCACUAGUAUGGAUAAAGCAUCCUUGUGGCAUUGUCGUCUUGGACAUGUCAACAAGAAACGCAUAGCCCAACUCCAAAAGGAUGGAGUGUUGGAGUCAUUCGACCUUAGGGAAGAUGACACAUGCGAGUCUUGUUUGCUUGGAAAGAUGACUAAGUCACCCUUCACGAGUACAUGUGAAAGGGGCGAGGGUCUAUUGGACCUAAUACAUACCGAUGUAUGUGGACCGUUUAGAUCAACCACGAAGGAUGGGAACCGCUUCUAUGUGACUUUUACCGAUGACUAUAGUAGAUAUGGGUAUAUCUACUUAAUCAAGCAAAAGUCAGACACCUUUGAAAAGUUCAAAGAGUUCAAGAAUGAAGUGGAGAAUCAAUUGGGCAGGAAAAUCAAGAUGCUUCGAUCCGAUCGAGGAGGAGAGUACCUAAGUCUUGAAUUCCACGAUUAUCUCAAGGAGUGUGGAAUAGUUUCGCAAUUGACGCCUCCUAGGACACCGCAGUUGAAUGGUGUGGCAGAAAGGCGUAAUCGAACCUUAUUGGAUAUGGUUCGCUCUAUGAUGAGUCGUGCUUCACUACCUAUCUCUUUUUGGGGGUAUGCCUUAGAGACUGCCGCCCAUAUCCUUAACCGAGUCCCUACUAAGAAGGUUGCCAAAACACCUCACGAGAUGUGGACAGGGAAAGCUCCCUCGUUGGCACAUAUCAAGGUUUGGGGUUGCGAGGCUUUCGUAAGACGAGAUACUCACGACAAGCUUGAACCUCGAAGUGAGCGAUGUAUUUUCAUCGGCUACCCGCAGACAUCCUUUGGAUAUCUCUUCUAUAGACCGAAGGACAAUGUUGUCUUCGUUGCGAGGAGAGGAGUUUUCCGAGAGCGAGAACUCAUAAGCCAAGGAGACAGUGGGAGGCAAAUCGAGCUUGAAGAGAUUCAAGAGUCGAUAGAUGAAGGAACCUCUACCGCUGGCACUCAACCCGAGGAGGAAACUCCGGUUGAACCGAUUGACGAAUCCUUACCUCUUAGACGUUCCGAUAGAGUUAGAGUUCAACCCCAGUUUUAUGGUUUUCAUAUUACUACCGAAGGGGACACGUAUAUUAGUGAUGGUACACUAAUAAAUCUUGAUGAACCUAAUAGCUAUAAGGAAGCCAUGGCAGGCCCGGAGUCUGCAAAAUGGAAAGAGGCAAUGGAUAGCGAGAUCCAAUCCAUGUAUGAUAACCAAGUUUGGAAUUUGGUUGAUUAUGUGCCCGGACGUAAGACCGUUGGGUGCAAAUGGAUCUUCAAGAAGAAGACCGACGUGGAUGGAAACGUACACACAUAUAAAGCGCGAUUGGUUGCGAAGGGCUUUACUCAAACUCCCGGAGUUGACUAUGAUGAGACCUUCUCACCAGUUGCGAAGAUUAAAUCUAUUAGAGUGAUGCUAGCAAUUGCCGCAUUUCAUGAUUAUGAGAUUUGGCAAAUGGAUGUCAAGACCGCUUUCCUUAACGGAAAGUUGGCUGAGGAUGUUUACAUGGCUCAGCCAGAGGGGUUUGUGGAUCCGAAGCAUCCGAAUAGAGUGUGUAAGCUUGAGAAGUCCAUUUAUGGACUUAAGCAAGCGUCUCGCAGAUGGAAUCUUUGCUUCGAUGAGAAAGUCAAAGAGUUUGGAUUUGUACGAAGCGAAGACGAAUCUUGUGUAUAUGUCAAAGCCAGUGGGAGUAUAGUAAGCUUCCUCGUUCUAUAUGUCGAUGACAUAUUACUCAUAGGAAACGACAUCCCGACUCUGCAGGAAGUUAAGUCCUGGCUCGGGAAGUGCUUCGCUAUGAAGGACCUCGGAGAGGCUUCUUACAUUUUGGGAAUAAGGAUAGUAAGAGAAAGAAGUAAGAGACUAAUUGGACUUAGUCAGAAUACUUACUUAGAGAAGGUACUAAAACGUUUUAGUAUGGAAAACUCAAAGAAGGGAGAACUACCGAUACAAAGUAAUGCCAAAUUGAGUAAGACUCAAAGUCCGAGUACCGAAGCUGAGAUAGCAGAAAUGAGCCGAGUACCAUACGCUUCCGCAGUUGGCUCAAUCAUGUACGCUAUGACUUGUACUCGCCCUGAUGUAGCCUUCGCUUUGAGCAUGGUUAGCAGAUAUCAAGGGAAUCCUGGCAAAGCACAUUGGAUUGCGGUGAAGAAUAUCCUUAAGUACCUUCGGAGGACGAAGGAAUGGUUCUUAGUCCUCGGAGGGAGUGAUGACUUGAAGGUGCGAGGGUAUAGUGACGCCAGUUUUCAGACCGACAGGGACAACUACCGUUCGCAGUCGGGCUGGGUCUUUACCCUAAAUGGAGGAGCAGUGACAUGGAAGAGUUCCAAGCAGGAAACCGUAGCUGAUUCAACGUGCGAAUCAGAGUACAUUGCAGCGAGCGAAGCGUCGAAGGAGGCAAUAUGGCUAAAGAACUUCAUCGGUGAUCUUGGAGUCGUACCUGCCAUAAAGGAGCCAAUGGAGAUUUUCUGUGAUAACGAAGGUGCGGUUGCCUUAACCAAGGAACCGAGGGAUCAUGGUAGAUCAAGACAUAUCGACAGAAAGUAUCACUUCAUUAGACAUCGUGUAGAAGAAGGACAACUCGUAGUGAAGAGGAUAUCAUCAGAAGAUAACCCAGCAGAUCCGCUUACGAAGGGACUGAGUAGGGUUAAGCACUUGCAGCAUGCUAGGAGUAUUGGGCUGAAGGAUGAUAUUAGCAUAGAUUAGAUAGUAUUAGAAACGUGUAAUAGAUAAAUGUAAUUGACAUUUGAUGAUUAAAUAAAGGAGUUUUAUUUAUGAGUAAUGUUACUAUCUUAUGUUAAUUGUUUAGCUAUUGUUUCACUUUGCAUGUUUUGACUUCCAGAAUAAUUGAGUUUAUUAGGAAUAAUCGAAUUAUUCAAAUGGUCCACAAUCGUUCAUAUGUUGGGAGUAGAUAUGAAAGAAGAUUGUCAUGAAUUGGUGUGUAGAAUGUCUAAAUGGUGUUAGACAUAGCAAAGGAUUGCUGCAACGUUCAUGAGUGCUUAUGAACUAGUUUUGAGCAUUGGAAUAAACCCGCGCUUGCUGGAAUCACCUUAUGGAAUACGAUAUAAAAGGUGAUCGCAAGACGAUAAUAUCAUAUAGUCUUAAAACCUAGAUAUAUGGUUUAUUAUUUGUUAAUUGAUUGUACAUUGAUAAUACGAAAACGCAUCAGUAACUUGGUGUUAUAAAACGUAUUGUUGUGUAUAGUUGGUUAAUGAAUAAGUAAAUGCAUAUAAGUCGAAGUUUAUCUGUAACUUUUAUCUAAGAAGGUAAAAGCGAUAUCUCGGCCGCUCGAUGAUUUGAUUUGACUUAUGUGCCGGGCCCGGUCAGAACUGAAUUGAUGUGUUCGAUUAAGUUCUAUGUCAAAUAAAUCAGAGAUCGAGAAACCUAAAUGCUUGACUAACCAUUCCAUAGGAUUGUCAGCAUGAUAUCUAACAGAGGACUGUACGUUCCCUUAUCUAAAGGACAAGAUUGAUUAGAUCAGAGUUGACAGCGUCUUUGAGAGCUACGAUUGCAAACCGAAUUGUACUUGUAUAGUUACUAGACUUAUCCAAGUGGGAGACUGUUGGAAUAGUGUCUAAGGCUGUAACUAUAUCCGGUUGUGCAUGGUCCUUUUGGGUUGCCUUCACCAUAGCAACUUGAUAGGAUGAUUUAUUAAGAGAGAAUAAAUAUUAUUAAUAUAUUAUGGGAAUAAUAUAAUGAAUAAUAUAUUUGUUAUUUGAUUAAUAUAAGUCAUAGAAUUAAUUAGAAUUAAUUUGGUGACUUAAAGAGAUUAAUUAAAUAAAGGGGUAUAAACUGUCAAUUGUUUGAUAGUUAAGCUUUAAACUGUAAAUCCAUUUGGAUAUACUAUGGACGAAUUCUAAGAGGAUUAGGAUAGCUAAAAUCGUCCAUUAGAGUUAUCUAGGAAUGGAUUUGGAUAGCCUUAAGAGAAGAUUAUCUGAUAGGGACUUAUCUGUAAUCCUUAAGGAGUCUACAAGUAUAAAUAGACCCCAUGGCUGAUGGAAUUCGACACUUGACCUAAAGUAAGGAACCUCUGGUCGAAAUUCCUCCCCUCUCCUCUCUCCCAAAUCAUCCUCCUUGCUUUGGUGUUUGUAAGCCAUUAGAGGAGUGACAUUUGUGACUCUAGAAGCUCCAAGACCUCAAGAUCAACAAGGAACUCAAAGGUAUGAUUCUAGAUCUGUUUUAAUGUUCUUGUUUAACCUAAUUAGUAAUUAGAAGUCUUGGAUUCAAAGCAUGUUUAUUAGAAAGCCUAGAUCCAAGCAUUAGGGUUUUGCAUGCGCACAUAGGAAAGUUCUUAUGGCUAAAACCCAUCAGUGGUAUCAGAGCCUAGCUUGGUUUUCUGUAAAUUGUUGCUUGAUUAACUGAAACAAACCUGCAAAAUUCGAAUUUUUGGUUUCUGAGUCAUGGACUCGGCGAGUCUCAAAGUGGACUCGGCGAGUAGGCCUGACUCGGCGAGUCCAUUUGUGCACUCGGCGAGUCCAGGCGUCAGGAAUGGCCAGAUUCGGGAUUUCUUUGUGUUUAUCUUAUCUUAACUUACCAUAAACUAAUUAGAUCAACAUUAAUUCGUUUUUCUGAUAAAUAUAACUAUUAUCUUGAUCUAGUUAAAGGUAAUUAUCAACUAAUUAAAUAUUUAAUUUCCUUAUAUGAUAAUUAAUUAAUUAUUUUGAUUAUUUUGGUAAUUAUCUUUAAAAGAAAUCUUGAAUAAAUCAAAUAUAGAUAAUUAGGAUAUUAAUUGUUAAUUGGAAUUAUUUGUUAUUUGAUCCUCCAUGUUUUAAAUGUUUAAAACCUACCCUCAUGUUUUGAAAUUUACUUUUGUGAUUAAAAGUUUUAAUUUAGACAACUUAAAUUUCAAACCCUAGAUUUUAAAAGUUUUAAAAUACAACCCUAUACUAAUAUGAUAUUACUAGAAUAAUAUAUAUAUGUAUAACUAAAUGCUAGUCUUACCGUUAGUAGGCCUCAUUCACGAAGCCGAUCUAUAAGGUGGGUAUAAGGUUGCGGCCUAUAAAAUGGCGCUUAAUGGGUGUACACUCACACCCACCGCUUGCUUGAUUGGUGGAGGGUCGUUAGCCGAACGGGUAGGAUAGGGCAACCUCAUCCUCUCAUUAAAAGUAUAAUAAGAAAUACAAAGUAACUACACUUUUUUUAAAAUUUCCCAAUCCUAGUUACUUUAGGAAAAGUGAAUUGAUGCAAUCCCAUGAAAUUACACUUUGCACCUUGCUAAGAUGUUAGUGGAGCGUGUGUGGUUUACCGGCACACUAAUUGGUUCUAAGCGAAGGUGGCAAAGGGUGAUUCAUUGUUUAUCAUAGUUCGAUGGAGCGUGUGUGGUUUACCGGCACAUCGAAUAGGUGAUUGUUACAAUGAAGGCACCAUGUGAAUUUGCAUGGUAAUUCACACCCGCUUUGUGAUCCUCGGCAUCCCAGUCACAAACAAGAGGGGCAUAUCGAGAUUUAAACAUGCCAUUGAAUAGUUUCAAUGAAUCUCAUCCGAACCUAGGAAUUCUCAAAAACACUUAGGACUAAUAGUUUAAGUUUUGUGAUGGAGAAUUAGUGAAUCGUCAUUCACUUACCUUCAAUUUAUUUGCAUGUUAGAUUACGGCAUCCCUUUUCUAGUAUGUAAAUGUUAUUGUUGGAUCCUAGCCCUAAUUUUCUUAUUGGGUGAUAAUUAGGGAUUCUUAUUCUAAUCUAUCUUUGUCCUUUUCUAAUUGUAGAUGUCAAACGCAAACAACGCUGCUGCUAGUUCUUUCACAUUGAUGAGCCUUUGCCAAAAGGUCACCUUCGAUGGAACGAACUUUAGCGAAUGGAUAAGAUACAUUCGCACCAUUGCUCGCUAUGAGGACAAAGAGUAUGUCCUUGAUGAGAAGCUCGAGAAAAUCAACACCGAAAUCGCUACUCCAGCCGAAAUCACCGCCUUUGAAACUCAUGAGCGAGAUGCAACGAAGGUACAUUGCAUCAUGAUCGCCACCAUGAACUCCGAAUUCCAAAAGUCCUACGAGGACAUGUACCCGUACGAGAUGCACCAAGACUUAUUGGAAAGGUACCACCAAAACGCGAGACAAGAGAGGUACGAGAUUUUCACUAACAUGAUUUCCGCGAAGAUGGGUCAUGGAGAAUCUCUUACCGUGCACUUGCAAAAGAUGCAAAGGUAUGUCGACCGCCUUCGCAAGUUAAAUGUUGACUUCGGUGAGGAUUUGGCGAUCGACAUGGUGCUUCACUCUUUGCCUCCGAUGUACAAUCAAUUUAGGAUGACCUACCACAUGAACAAAGAAGAGGUCACCCUAAGCAAGCUCCAAGGUCUCUUGAG